Molecule: long non-coding RNA, 530 nt
Organism: Bos taurus (domestic cattle)
Lineage: Eukaryota; Metazoa; Chordata; Mammalia; Artiodactyla; Bovidae
Source: Ensembl
CCCUUACCCUGCGGCCGGCUCUGCACCCUGCCUAUUAUAAUAUUCUGAGCCACAUCCUGUGAGCUGUCUUACAGAUACUGAAACCCUAGGAAGAGAAGUUCACUACAUGAUGAUCAGGCUGAACCCAGGACAUGAGCUGCCACAAUUCUGAGAAUUGACUGCAAAGAAAUGGGAACAGAUGGACCCUGGGCCUAAAGACGAAGCACCUAAAACAACCAAGAUGACGCUGGUCGGACCACUGAGGACCAGUUGAAGAAAAGCAGUAAAACCCUUCAUGGUGGCGACUGCUCCUUGCGACCAGCAAAGGCUCCAUGAGACCUGCAGAAACCUAGCAGAAACCACAUGUUUGAGAGAAUAUGUGCCUGAUCGCUCGUGUCUCCCCUUCACCCAAAUCACAUAUAUAUAUACUGACCCCCUUGCCUGCCUCCCCCCACCCCUCUUUGGAACAGUUCCUCAGACUUAACUGAGGGGCUGGCUCUUGGGCUGCAGUCCUCAUUUUGUCCCAAAUAAAAUUUGACUUGCAACUCUCA